Molecule: small nucleolar RNA, 142 nt
Filed under: Moschus moschiferus (Siberian musk deer)
Lineage: Eukaryota; Metazoa; Chordata; Mammalia; Artiodactyla; Moschidae
Description: Small nucleolar RNA U3 (ENSMMSG00000016306.1)
Rfam family: Small nucleolar RNA U3
About the family: Small nucleolar RNAs (snoRNAs) are involved in the processing and modification of rRNA in the nucleolus.
Source: Rfam by way of RNAcentral
AAGACUAUACUUUCAGGGAUCAUUUCUAUAGUUCGUUACUAGAGAAGUUUCUCUGAUCGUGUAGAGCACCCGAAACCACGAGGAAGAGACGCAGUGUUUUCUCCUGAGCGUGAAGUUGGCGUUUGGUGCUGCUUGUGCAGCU